Molecule: ribosomal RNA, 253 nt
Filed under: uncultured bacterium
Lineage: Bacteria
Description: partial 16S ribosomal RNA
Rfam family: Bacterial small subunit ribosomal RNA
Source: RNAcentral
UACGUAGGGGGCAAGCGUUGUCCGGAAUCAUUGGGCGUAAAGAGCGUGUAGGCGGCCAGGUAGGUCGGUUGUGAAACUGGAGGCUCAACCUUCAGAGGUCGACCGAAACCAUCUGGCUAGAGUCCGGGAGAGGAGAGUGGAAUUCCGUGGUGUAGCGGUGAAAUGCGCAGAUAUCAGGAAGAACACCCGUGGCGAAGGCGGCUCUCUGGGACGGUACUGACGCUGAGACGCGAAAGCGUGGGGAGCGAACAGG